ACGGAAGGCAGCAGUGGGGAAUAUUGGGCAAUGGGCGAAAGCCUGACCCAGCGACGCCGCGUGAGGGAAGAAGGUCUUCGGAUUGUAAACCUCUUUCAGCAGGGAAGAUAAUGACGGUACCUGACGAAUAAGCAACGGCUAACUACGUGCCAGCAGCCGCGGUAAUACGUAGGUUGCAAGCGUUGUCCGGAUUUACUGGGUGUAAAGGGCGUGUAGGCGGAGCUGCAAGUCAGAUGUGAAAUCCCGGGGCUCAACCCCGGAACUGCAUUUGAAACUGUAGCCCUUGAGUAUCGGAGAGGCAAGCGGAAUUCCUAGUGUAGCGGUGAAAUGCGUAGAUAUUAGGAGGAACACCAGUGGCGAAGGCGGCUUGCUGGACGACAACUGACGCUGAGGCGCGAAAGCGUGGGGAGCAAACAGGAUUAGAUACCCUGGUA
RNAcentral lists this ribosomal RNA (434 nucleotides) under uncultured Pseudoflavonifractor sp. RNAcentral describes it as "partial 16S ribosomal RNA". It matches the Rfam family "Bacterial small subunit ribosomal RNA", at positions 341 to 792 of the family's 1533-position model. Lineage: Bacteria; Bacillati; Bacillota; Clostridia; Eubacteriales; Oscillospiraceae. The record is from RNAcentral.